Molecule: transfer RNA, 72 nt
Filed under: Camelus bactrianus (Bactrian camel)
Lineage: Eukaryota; Metazoa; Chordata; Mammalia; Artiodactyla; Camelidae
Also listed under: 2 other names
Rfam family: tRNA
About the family: Transfer RNA (tRNA) molecules are approximately 80 nucleotides in length. Their secondary structure includes four short double-helical elements and three loops (D, anti-codon, and T loops). Further hydrogen bonds mediate the characteristic L-shaped molecular structure. tRNAs have two regions of fundamental functional importance: the anti-codon, which is responsible for specific mRNA codon recognition, and the 3' end, to which the tRNAs corresponding amino acid is attached (by aminoacyl-tRNA synthetases). tRNAs cope with the degeneracy of the genetic code in two manners: having more than one tRNA (with a specific anti-codon) for a particular amino acid; and 'wobble' base-pairing, i.e. permitting non-standard base-pairing at the 3rd anti-codon position.
Source: Rfam by way of RNAcentral
GAGGGUAUAGCUCAGUGGUAGAGCACACACCUAACAUGCACAAGGUCCAGAGUUCAAUCCUCAGUACCUCCA